CUAGGGUUUUUGUUUUCAUAUCUUUCCUCCCUCCAUCUUGAGUUUCCUGAGAGCGUCUCAGAUCUGAAAAUCCUCCUUCUACUUUUCAUCUUUGGAAGAGUCUAAAUCAAGAAGAAGGAGGCACCUGAUCAACCAUCAAAGAAGGAUCAGCACAGUACUAGCAUACUGUGCUAAUUUCCUGAAGCAGGACUUCUGAUCGAGAUUCGUGGGCUCGUGUGGAUGACUCCUAGAGGCCGGACGUGUGUGCGGCUUGCAACAUCAUCCUCAAGCCCAGAUCAACAAGGUUAGAACGUCUAACUUGCAAGGUAAUAGAUCUGAUCUAUUAUUUAAUACAUACAUUAGAUG
RNAcentral lists this long non-coding RNA (345 nucleotides) under Elaeis guineensis (African oil palm). Its description in RNAcentral is "long non-coding RNA (EGUI_LNC052766)". Lineage: Eukaryota; Viridiplantae; Streptophyta; Magnoliopsida; Arecales; Arecaceae. The record is from RNAcentral.